Molecule: ribosomal RNA, 503 nt
Filed under: uncultured bacterium
Lineage: Bacteria
Description: partial 16S ribosomal RNA
Rfam family: Bacterial small subunit ribosomal RNA
Source: RNAcentral
AUUGAACGCUGGCGGCAGGCUUAACACAUGCAAGUCGAGCGGGGUGAUGGUGCUUGCACUAUCACUUAGCGGCGGACGGGUGAGUAAUGCUUAGGAAUCUGCCUAUUAGUGGGGGACAACAUCUCGAAAGGGAUGCUAAUACCGCAUACGUCCUACGGGAGAAAGCAGGGGAUCACUUGUGACCUUGCGCUAAUAGAUGAGCCUAAGUCGGAUUAGCUAGUUGGUGGGGUAAAGGCCUACCAAGGCGACGAUCUGUAGCGGGUCUGAGAGGAUGAUCCGAGACACCGGGACUGAGACACGGGCCAGAGUCCUACGGGAGGCAGCAGUGGGGAAUAUUGGACAAUGGGGGGAACCCUGCUCCAGCCAUGCCGCGUGUGUGAAGAAGGCCUUAUGGUUGUAAAGCACUUUAAGCGAGGAGGAGGCUCUUUUGGUUAAUACCCAAGAUGAGUGGACGUUACUCGCAGAAUAAGCACCGGCUAACUCUGUGCCAGCCGCCGCGGUAA